AUGCUCCCAAAUGUAUGCAAUACAAUUUGGUUUAUCAUAGUGUCUGAAGGUUACCUAUGUGUUGUGACUGCAGAAGGUGUCACCCCAAAGGAGAUUCAUCAGAGAAUACAAGCUGUUUAUGGUGAUUGUGUUGAUGUGAGUACUGUGUGUCGUUGGGCGAGUAAGUUUAAAGAUGUUGAGGUGGGAACAUCUGACUUGCGUGACAAACAAAGAGUUGAACGACUUGUGACAGCAACCAUCGAGUUUCACAAGCAAAAGUUUGACAGAUUGAUUCAGGAUGAUCGUCGUAUCACAGAGAGAAAUGUCAAGCAUAAUCGGCAUUUCACAAGAACGUGUGGGUCACAUUAUUGCUUUGCUUGGCUAUAGGAAGAUCUGUGCACGAUGGGUAGUGUGAGACGCUGGUUGCAGAAACAGAGUGUCAACUUCUUCCGUGACAGCUAUAUCAUUGGCAGAAAUGUAUCCAAUUGUCUGGUGAUUAUGUGGGAAAGUGAAUAGUGGUAGUUAAAGAGCACAUUCUAAGGAUUAUUUCUGUGUUUGAUUUAAUAAUAAUAAAUAAUAAUAUAACUUUAUUUUUAUACCCCGCCCCAUCUCCCCGAAGGGACUCAGGGCGGCUUACAUGGGGCCUGGCCCAAUAAAACAAACAAAUAACAGUAACAAAGCAAUAAAACAAUUAUCCCAGAAAAAACAUCAACAUCAAUAAAAACAAUCAUUAAAAUCAACAAGCAGGAUACAGUAUUAAAAACAGGAGACUAAGUCGUAGAUCCCAGGCAAAGUGCAGAGUAUUACGAAAUGGGGAAAGGAAAUUUCAUAGUUGAAAGGACAAUAAAGUGCGGUAUGAAAUGACAAGACAACAACAAUUUAUUAAAAUAUUCCCACCCAAACCCAAGUAACGAAGGUGGAGGCAUUACUUUUCAUUCAACCCUCAUAAUAAUAAUAAUAAUAACAAAAACAACUUUAUUUUUGUACCCUGCCUCCAUCUUCCCGGAGGGACUCAGGGCGGCUAACAUGGGGCCAAGACCAAACAAUUACAAUAAAUCAAAAUAAAAUACAUCCAAGACACAGCACAACAUCCAGUAAAAACACUUAUACAAUAACAUAGUAAAACAAAACCUAAUAACAGUAACAUAAUAAAACAAAGCAUGAAAACAGUACAAAAUUUAAACGAUGGUGAGCUCUGGUGGUUCCCAAACUUUGGACCUCUACAUGCUUUUUCUCAAUAAGAACGUGGUCCUCAAUAGCAGGCGUCCUUGCCUUCCCUUUAUACCUCAUGCAUAUUUCUUUAUACACGUUAUGUUUCCUAUUUACGCCUUUCCUGAUUUAUUAAAAAUAAUGUGUAUAAUUAAGACCCCUUCUGGUCCACUGAAUAAAUACAGUGGUACUUAAUUAUCUGGAGUACUUACACUUAAAUGACUUAUUUUCACCUCAAGUCAUUUUCUCGUAUCUUAUAUACUUUGCUGGUUAUUCCUUUUCAAACUCUUAAACUUUCAAGGGACUAUUAGAAAUAUGGAAGGUUUGUUUGCUUGUGUGUUGGUUGUGAGUUGCGCUGCUUUGUCUCGAUGUGAGUUGUGUCUGCAGCCCGGAUCGGAAGGGAUGUUUGAUUUCGGUGACGAUUUGGGACAGAAGGCAUUUAAGCACUUGCCAUGGUUGUGAUAUUAAAUGGCAGCUGGAUUGCUCGGGAAGAACUCCCUGCUCUCUGGCAGGAAAUGGAGGAGACGAUUUAUUUUCAUUUAAGCACACUGCUACAAAUCUGACUUUAAUAUGAUUCACAAAUGUUCGGCUAAAGCUUUUCUUCUCCCAGCCAUGCUCCCCUAUAAUUCCAUAUUGUUGAUGAGAAUGGACAGUGACAAAUGGCGACUGAUCCUACGUUUUCUUUUUCCAUUUGUUCUUGGAUUUCAUGCGUCUUCACUUUCAUCGCCUUGUCUUUUGGGUCACCGUUUCUUCACAGUGCUUUAAAAUGGGGCUGAAAGAGUUUUAAACUACAUUUAUUUGAUUUUUUAAAAUCCUAGUACUGGACUCCAGGCUGUUAUUUUUAUUUCAUUUUGGCAAUUUGCUUCUCCUGUUGUUUUUAUAAUGAUUUAAUCAGUUAUAUUGUAUUUUUUUAUGCGUUGCCAGCUGCCUUGCGAGAGUUUGGCUCUAAAUGACAACCUAAAAUUAUCUUUAAAAAUAAAGAGCAUUGAUAAAGUAAUAAAAAGCAUUAUCUGUAAGCUCAGAUAUAAACUUCCUGGAUGGCUUUCUGUGCUUUACCAAUCUUAAUGUGGGGAUAGUAAUACUAUCCUGUAAUAUAUAAUGGAAACAGCGCUCGAAUUAGUAGGGAGAGGGAAGCAAAGCGAUAUCCGACUCUUUCCAGUUUUACAAAACCAGAGAAUAUUGACUGUAAAUGCAACAAAUGCAAAGAACUAAGGAGAAAGUAUGGAAAUGCAACAGAGUCAUGAUAAAAACCUUCAUUAAUAUCUGUCAUUUUGCAAAAACAUUUGCAAAAAACAUGACCAAAUCACACACAACUUCCUAGUAGUCUUUUUUAAAAACAGUAGCUUUGGGAAUCAUUGCAAAAAGUAUGAUGCUGUCUUAGAUUGAAUCAGGGCAUUGGGAAUUUACUUCGAUAUCAUCUAUACCAGUGGUAGACUUUGAUGAGUAAAUGACAAAGUUGACAUGGCCUGAUUUAAGGAUGAAGUAUGAGGAUCUCGGAU
This 2687-nucleotide long non-coding RNA is filed under the name Anolis carolinensis (green anole). Its description in RNAcentral is "lncRNA (ENSACAG00000035934.1)". Lineage: Eukaryota; Metazoa; Chordata; Lepidosauria; Squamata; Anolidae. The record is from RNAcentral.